This 495-nucleotide ribosomal RNA is filed under the name uncultured bacterium. RNAcentral describes it as "partial 16S ribosomal RNA". It matches the Rfam family "Bacterial small subunit ribosomal RNA", at positions 30 to 507 of the family's 1533-position model. The record is from RNAcentral.
UGAACGCUGGCGGCGUGCCUAAUACAUGCAAGUCGAGCGAACAGACGAGGAGCUUGCUCCUCUGACGUUAGCGGCGUACGGGUGAGUAACACGUGGAUAACCUACCUAUAAGACUGGGAUAACUUCGGGAAACCGGAGCUAAUACCGGAUAAUAUAUUGACCCGCAUGGUUCAAUAGUGAAAGACGGUUUUGCUGUCACUUAUAGAUGGAUCCGCGCCGCCUUAGCUAGUUGGUAAGGUAACGGCUUACCAAGUCGACGAUGCGUAGCCGACCUGAGAGGGUGAUCGGACACACUGGAAAUGAGACACGGUCCAGACUCCUACGGGAGGCAGAAGUAGGGAAUCUUACGCAAUGGGCGAAAGCCUGACGGAGCAACGCCGCGUGAGUGAUGAAGGUCUUCGGAUCGUAAAACUCUGUUAUUAGGGAAGAACAAAUGUGUAAGUAACUAUGCACGUCUUGAAGGUACCUAAUCAGAAAGCCACGGCUAACUACGUG